UAUAAUUUUUUUACCUCUCGGCUACUUUAUAUGCAAUUUCUCUAAUUUCGAGGUUUUAUUUUGGCGUCAGUGUGUUUAACUUCUCUUCUUUUAAAUACUAACACUUCCAGAAUGUAUGGUUUGCCUCGACGUGCAUUUUAGGAAUUUAAGACAGUAACUCAUCUUAAGAUUAUCCAGAGCCAUGAAUCUUGUGAAAUUGUCUGCCGUUGCACUUGGCUUUUGCAUUAUCUUAUCUCUACUAAUAGACAUUCUGAAGGAUUCUCUUACGAUUUACAGUUUCCUGCCUCGUCAAGGCUUUCAUUGCGGGACUUGCCAUAAUGCUGGUUUUGAGCAUUCCCUUGGAAUUCUGGCUGUCGCGCUUCGUAAGGCCCAACAGAUUUCCACCAAUUUCAUCAUCAAUGGAGGAAUAAUUAUGCUCUUUCUUAGAAUAGUAGUUGCAUAUUUCACAAUCGAUCAUCCACUUUUUAACGUAUUGGAGCGAUGGGUUACUUCGUGAAAUGUCUAAUAAUGGUAUUAGCCAGUUGCGCUGUCUCGUCUUUAACCUGCGCUCUGUUCAUCUAUCUAUUGACGGUCUUAUCACCUAUUCAUAUUUUAACAGCAAUUAUCAUCAUUUGUAUCAUUUUUUUCAUCGUUGAGAUAAUACUGAUUCUAAGAUGGGGAAUCUCCUCCCAGAAAGCAGCAACAGACCUCGAAGUUUUAAUUUCAACACAAAUCUAAGAAUGAGUACGGAAAUUCCUUAGAUAUUCCUGCUCUUUUACAUUUAAAUGUGACAAAUUUUUUGUAGUUUUAGGAUUUUAAACUUUGCACAUAAUUUUAAUGCAAUAUUAUAACAUGAAAGACAGAAAGCAUCUAGAGCGCUUCAGAAAUUGAAUGUAAAUGCGCAGUUUGUUUUAAACACUUUAUAAUGUAAUAUUUUAUUAAAUAUUUUCAUUAAAAGAUGGUUUCAUUCUAUCUGUCUUCAUAUUCAAUGUAUGUUUGUUAUGCUGAUGUGAGAAUAAGUCUGU
Long non-coding RNA from Stegodyphus dumicola, 1004 nucleotides. RefSeq lists it as uncharacterized. The record is from RefSeq and is a predicted model, not a curated record. NCBI's taxonomy places the organism in Eukaryota, Metazoa, Arthropoda, Arachnida, Araneae, Eresidae.